AUGCAGUUUAUUUAUAUAUUACCUGGCUGGGAGGGUUCGGCACAUGAUGGUCGUGUUCUUAGAGAUGCUAUUUCGAGGUUGGAUGGGUUUCGAGUCCCUCAAGGACAAUACUACCUUGUUGAUGCUGGCUACACAAAUGCAAAUGGAUUUUUAGCUCCUUAUCGAGGUCAAAGGUACCACUUAGGUGGUUGGACUGCACAAAACCCACCACGCAGCGCAGAGGAAUAUUAUAAUAUGCUACACGCUAGAGCUAGAAAUAUUAUUGAGAGAUGCUUUGGAAGACUCAAGGGCCGGUGGGCGAUUUUGAGGUCUCCAUCAUAUUUUCCUAUCAAAACUCAUUGCCGGAUUAUAAUGGCAUGCGCUCUAUUACACAAUCUGAUUUUACAAAAUAUGGCUGAGGAUCCACUCGCUGGUGAGGAUGGGAUGAUGCAAGAUAACAUGGAAAUCUUGGAGGGAGAGAACGAUGAACCUGAAUUUAUCACUCAUAUAUCAACAUCUAAUGAGUGGACUAAUUUCCGGAAUACUCUUUCUCAAGGGAUGUAUAAUAGCUAUAGAGCUAGAGGCCACUAA
RNAcentral lists this ribosomal RNA (570 nucleotides) under Triticum aestivum (bread wheat). Its description in RNAcentral is "partial small subunit ribosomal RNA". Lineage: Eukaryota; Viridiplantae; Streptophyta; Magnoliopsida; Poales; Poaceae. The record is from RNAcentral.